RNAcentral lists this ribosomal RNA (253 nucleotides) under uncultured bacterium. RNAcentral describes it as "partial 16S ribosomal RNA". It matches the Rfam family "Bacterial small subunit ribosomal RNA", at positions 524 to 776 of the family's 1533-position model. The record is from RNAcentral.
UACGUAGGUGGCAAGCGUUGUCCGGAUUUACUGGGCGUAAAGGGCGUGCAGGCGGUCUGUUAAGUCUAGGGUGAAAGCUCCCGGCUCAACUGGGAGAGGUCCUUGGAUACUGGCAGACUUGAGGAGAGUAGAGGAGAGUGGAAUCCCCGGUGUAGUGGUGAUAUGCGUAGAUAUCGGGAGGAACACCAGUGGCGAAGGCGGCUCUCUGGGCUCUACCUGACGCUGAGACGCGAAAGCGUGGGGAGCAAACAGG